CGUGUAGGCGGAUAUACAUGUCAGAUGUGAAAUCCCUUGACUCAACUGAGGAAGUGCAUCUGAAACUGCAUAUCUUGAGUACGAUAGAGGAGAGUGGAAUUCCCAGUGUAGAGGUGAAAUUCAUAGAUAUUGGGAAGAACACCGGUGGCGAAGGCGGCUCUCUGGAUCGAUACUGACGCUGAUACGCGAAAGCGUGGGAGCAAACA
Molecule: ribosomal RNA, 206 nt
Filed under: uncultured bacterium
Lineage: Bacteria
Description: partial 16S ribosomal RNA
Rfam family: Bacterial small subunit ribosomal RNA
Source: RNAcentral